This 253-nucleotide ribosomal RNA is filed under the name uncultured bacterium. RNAcentral's name for it is "partial 16S ribosomal RNA". It matches the Rfam family "Bacterial small subunit ribosomal RNA", at positions 524 to 776 of the family's 1533-position model. The record is from RNAcentral.
UACGUAGGGUGCGAGCGUUGUCCGGAAUUAUUGGGCGUAAAGAGCUUGUAGGCGGUUUGUCGCGUCUGCUGUGAAAAUCCGGGGCUCAACCCCGGACUUGCAGUGGGUACGGGCAGACUAGAGUGUGGUAGGGGAGACUGGAAUUCCUGGUGUAGCGGUGAAAUGCGCAGAUAUCAGGAGGAACACCAAUGGCGAAGGCAGCUCGCUGGGACGGUACUGACGCUGAGGCGCGAAAGCGUGGGGAGCAAACAGG